Non-coding RNA from Bufo gargarizans (Asiatic toad), 953 nucleotides. NCBI's taxonomy places the organism in Eukaryota, Metazoa, Chordata, Amphibia, Anura, Bufonidae. The record is from the annotation of a RefSeq genome assembly.
CAAAAAGAUGGCUUCUCAGGGGCUUUUGCUGUGUGUCUUACUGAUCUCUAUCCAUGGAUCCUGUGGACAGAUUGUACUGAUCCAAUUUCCAGAUGAUACCUCUGUGUCCUUAGAACACACAAUCACCAUCACAUGUAAACCCAGUACUGGUAAAAGCAACAACUUACACUGGCUCCAAAAGAAAUCAGGAGAAUUGCCAAAGCUUCUUAUCUAUGUUGCAAACAACCGAGAAACAGGAGUCCCAGACCGGGUCACUCGAUCUGGAUCUGGAGAAGAUGUCACUCUUAUAGAUGGAGGAAUGACGAUUGAAGGAAAUUAUUACUGUCAGCAUACUGCUAGCGAUCCUCACAGUGAUACAGAGCCGUAUAAGAACCUUCAACAAGUUAACAAAAAGUAAUUUUUACUAAAGUUUAAAGGGGUAUUCCAAUCUCAGACAAUGGGGGCAUAUCACUAGGAUAUGCCCCCAUUGUCUAGGACUCACACCUACACUGAGAACAGAGUGAGAAAGGUGGUGGCCGGCCACUAGCAAGAGUUCUCACCAUAGUAGUGAAUAGGAGCACACCGCUCCCAUUCAUUUCUAUGGGGCAGAUGGAAAUAGCAGAGCCAGUGUCCGGCUAUUUUCGGCGGCCCCAUAGAAAUGAAUGGAGGGCUGCUGUGCAUGCACAGUGUGCCCCCCCCCCACCUUAACUUUCGUGGCACCGUUCUCAGUGUAGGUGUCAUAGAGAUAUGGACUACAUUCUUUAAUUCAGCUAAGAAAGCUCCCACAUACUCUAGCUCUCAGUCAACACUUUAUCUUCUCCAGAGCACAAAGGUUCCAUCCUAUCGAAGAGACCAUGCCUCCUUACUACGUCAUAUAUGCUUUUUUGCUGUUAGUGAAGACUCCAUUACAAGAUGGCGCUUACAGCUAAAUAUUUGCAUAGUUUACAUACUACAGUUAGUAAAACCAUGCGCAG